RNAcentral lists this ribosomal RNA (458 nucleotides) under uncultured bacterium. RNAcentral's name for it is "bacterial SSU rRNA". It matches the Rfam family "Bacterial small subunit ribosomal RNA", at positions 340 to 786 of the family's 1533-position model. The record is from RNAcentral.
UACGGAAGGCAGCAGUGGGGAAUAUUGCACAAUGGGCGAAAGCCUGAUGCAGCUAUGCCGCGUGUAUGAAGAAGGCCUUAGGGUUGUAAAGUACUUUCAUCGGGGAGGAAAAACAAAACUAAUAAUUUUAUUUCUUGACGUUACCCGAAAAAGAAGCACCGGCUAACUCCGUGCCAGCAGCCGCGGUAAUACGGAGGGUGCUAGCGUUAAUCAGAAUUACUGGGCGUAAAGAGCACGUAGGUGGUUUUUUUAAGUCAGAUGUGAAAUCCCUGGGCUUAACCUAGGAACUGCAUUUUGAAACUGAAAUACUAGAGUAUCGUAGAGGGAGGUAGAAUUCUAGGUGUAGCGGUGGAAAUGCGUAGAUAUCUGGAGGAAUACCUGUGGCGAAAGCGGCCUCCUAAACGAAAUACUGACACUGAGGUGCGAAAAGCGUGGGGAGCAAACAGGGAUUAGAUACC